Molecule: ribosomal RNA, 456 nt
Filed under: uncultured bacterium
Lineage: Bacteria
Description: bacterial SSU rRNA
Rfam family: Bacterial small subunit ribosomal RNA
Source: RNAcentral
AGUAAACGUUGGCGGCGUGCCUAACACAUGCAAGUCGUACGAUCCUUAAGUGGCUUGCCAUUUAAGGAAAGUGGCGAACGGGUGAGUAACACGUGAGUAAUCUGCCCCUAAGUGAGGAAUAACUCCGCGAAAGCGGGGCUAAUACCGCAUGAAACUCUGAAGCAAACGCUUUCAGAGUCAAAGCCCCCUAGGGGGUGCUUGGGGAUGAGCUUGCGGCCUAUUAGCUAGUUGGUGGGGUAAUGGCCUACCAAGGUAAUGAUGGGUAGCCGGCCUGAGAGGGUGUACGGCCACACUGGAACUGCGACACGGUCCAGACUCCUACGGGAGGCAGCAGUGGGGAAUUUUGCGCAAUGGGCGAAAGCCUGACGCAGCGACGCCGCGUGGAGGAUUAAGGCCUUCGGGUUGUAAACUCCUGUCAGAGGUGAAGAAUACCCCCUUUGGGGGGUUGACGGUAAC